This 1731-nucleotide long non-coding RNA is filed under the name Gallus gallus (chicken). RNAcentral describes it as "lncRNA (ENSGALG00010017851.1)". The record is from RNAcentral. Lineage: Eukaryota; Metazoa; Chordata; Aves; Galliformes; Phasianidae.
GUGCUCUGAGUGACUCACGCACUGCUGAGCAUCCUCGUUCCAUGGUGGGUUUACUCUUCCAUUGCCUGCGUUUUUCCUGGGCUGUUGGUUACUGAGAGCAGAGGUGAGGGCUGAGGAGCAGAUAGGGCCCAUAGGGCUGGAAGGGUUAAGGAGUGCUGAGUACUUCACGUGCCAGCUGGUGAGGGAUGUAAUUAACAAAUAUUGGCUUCAGGUGUGAGCAUGACUGAUUUAUAGCAGCUUCGCAGGGGGUGGCACAGGUUGUAAUGAGUGGGGUUGCGUUUGCCCUGCUGGCCGAAGCCAUAGGGUGUGUGAGGGAAUGCCUGCAGGACGCAGGCUGGUCGUUGGUGUGUGCUGUUAAGAACCAAAAUACUCUUAAGAGCAGAGGUAAUGGGGGCCAAAUGGUUACAGCAGUGAAUUGCUGACUUAGGAAACAGCACUGACACCCCGUGGUACGGACACGCAGCGGCUGCACCUGAUGGCCUCAAUCAGCCCCUCCAAGUCUGUGCCCUUCCGGCUGUGACUCAGAACAGAAAGCAAAGGGCACCUCUGUGUGAAAAGGUGGAUUUUCAAGAACACAACAGAAACUUUCCCUAAAAGUUUUUGUUCCCUUGGGCAAACAAAAGCCGACAGUGCAGCUUAUGAAGGAGCCCUGGAUCUGCUCUCGGAACGCUCUGUUCCCUGGGAAGGAAGGUGUGUUACGUGGCCCUGUGACUCUCAUCCAUCACAUGACUGCAGUGCAGCAUGGAGAGACCUUUGAGUUUCCAUGGGACAAGGACACACUGCUCUGUAUGGAGAGCACCUUGAACAGCUUCAGCAAGGGCGGUGCUCCGGGGAGUUUGCCUCUCAGCUGUGGGUGCUGUCCUCAGUGAGCAGAACAGCACACCCUGCAGUGAGGCUGCAGCUGUGGUGCUUUCCUACUCCAUGACACAAUUGAAGGAUUGGUGCAUUCUCCUGAACAGUCCUUGGGGAUUCGUUGUAUUGCCCUCAGACUGCCUGCCUGGCUGGAGGGGGGGCUUGAAGACCAGGAACAGCAUUAGGAAUCAGCUGCUGGGGGAUGUUUGGGCUCUCGUUAGUGCUUUGAUGACCUGCAGAUGCUCUCAAUGAGCUGCAUGUUCUGAUGGAUCAGGUCGGCAGCUCGGAGUGCUGGACCCCUGAGCUGAGGGGCAGCCCCCAUCCAGCCUCACCCCGAGGUGUGGGGUUGGUGCCUAUGGGAGGAGGAGAUGCUUUGUAGCUGUUACAGCUGCUGUCCAGUGGCACUCUGUCUGUUAGUCUGAGGUGCUUUCAGUUCAUUUUGAAAGAACUGUGAAUUCUAAAUAUCUGGCGUGAAAAAUAACGACUUCGCUCCUGGAAAUGGUUUUGGUUUGUGCAAGCUGGGUGUAAGCAUUGUGAUAAAUGUCUGACAACUAAAAACUCCAUAUCAUUUGCUAACAUAUUGCACUCCAACAGCAGCUGGAGAACUCUGCAAAGGAGGCCUGAGUGGUGUAAAUAAGUCACAUUCAGCAGUUGGUGGCACUAAAUGUGGAUUUAUCAGUUAAAAAGGACAGCAGUGUGCUGGGAAGUGCCCAAUGGCACCGUGGGGCUGUGCUGCUAUGGCCACCCAGUGACUCCGUGCCCAAUGCGUGCAGGUUGGAAGCAAAAAGGCAGCUUUCCUGGCUGCCAGCUUCGGUGGCUCCAUCUGGGAUCUCAAAUCCAUGCUGUGUCUUUCCUGACUCUGCUGCUAAUAAUAAAGGC